Molecule: unclassified non-coding RNA, 329 nt
Filed under: soil metagenome
Description: partial contains 5.8S ribosomal RNA, internal transcribed spacer 2, and large subunit ribosomal RNA
Rfam family: 5.8S ribosomal RNA (bases 1-120)
Source: RNAcentral
GAUGAAGAACGCAGCGAAAUGCGAUAAGUAAUGUGAAUUGCAGAAUUCAGUGAAUCAUCGAAUCUUUGAACGCACAUUGCGCCCCUUGGUAUUCCGAGGGGCAUGCCUGUUCGAGCGUCAUUAUAACCCCUCAAGCUCAGCUUGGUGUUGGGGCCUGCCGCACUGGCAGCCCUUAAAAUCAGUGGCGGCGCCAUCUGGCUCUAAGCGUAGUAAUUCUUCUCGCUAUGGAGUCCUGGUGGAUGCUUGCCAUCAACCCCCAAUUUUUCUAUGGUUGACCUCGGAUCAGGUAGGGAUACCCGCUGAACUUAAGCAUAUCAAUAAGCGGAGGA